AGAGUUUGAUCAUGGCUCAGGAUGAACGCUGGCGGCGUGCUUAACACAUGCAAGUCGAACGAAGCACUUUAUCACGAUUUCUUCGGAAUGACGAUUUGGUGACUGAGUGGCGGACGGGUGAGUAACGCGUGGGUAACCUGCCUUAUACAGGGGGAUAACAGUUGGAAACGGCUGCUAAUACCGCAUAAGCGCACAGGGUCGCAUGACCUGGUGUGAAAAACUCCGGUGGUAUGAGAUGGACCCGCGUUGGAUUAGCUGGUUGGUGAGGUAACGGCCCACCAAGGCGACGAUCCAUAGCCGACCUGAGAGGGUGACCGGCCACAUUGGGACUGAGACACGGCCCAAACUCCUACGGGAGGCAGCAGUGGGGAAUAUUGCACAAUGGGCGAAAGCCUGAUGCAGCGACGCCGCGUGAGCGAAGAAGUAUUUCGGUAUGUAAAGCUCUAUCAGCAGGGAAGAUAAUGACGGUACCUGACUAAGAAGCACCGGCUAAAUACGUGCCAGCAGCCGCGGUAAUACGUAUGGUGCAAGCGUUAUCCGGAUUUACUGGGUGUAAAGGGAGCGCAGGCGGUACGGCAAGUCUGAUGUGAAAGCCCGGGGCUCAACCCCGGUACUGCAUUGGAAACUGUCGAACUAGAGUGUCGGAGGGGUAAGUGGAAUUCCUAGUGUAGCGGUGAAAUGCGUAGAUAUUAGGAGGAACACCAGUGGCGAAGGCGGCUUACUGGACGAUAACUGACGCUGAGGCUCGAAAGCGUGGGGAGCAAACAGGAUUAGAUACCCUGGUAGUCCACGCCGUAAACGAUGAAUA
This 808-nucleotide ribosomal RNA is filed under the name uncultured bacterium. Its description in RNAcentral is "bacterial SSU rRNA". It matches the Rfam family "Bacterial small subunit ribosomal RNA", at positions 8 to 815 of the family's 1533-position model. The record is from RNAcentral.